AUUGAACGCUGGCGGCAUGCCUAACACAUGCAAGUCGAACGGCAGCGCGGGCUUCGGCCUGGCGGCGCGUGGCGAACGGGGGAGUAAUGCAUCGGAACGUGCCCAGUAGUGGGGGAUAGGCCGGCGAAAGCCGGAUUAAUACCGCAUACGACCAGAGGGUGAAAGCGGGGGACCGAAAGGCCUCGCGCUAUUGGAGCGGCCGAUGUCGGAUUAGCUAGUUGGUGGGGUAAAGGCUUACCAAGGCGACGAUCCGUAGCUGGUCUGAGAGGACGACCAGCCACACUGGGACUGAGACACGGCCCAGACUCCUACGGGAGGCAGCAGUGGGGAAUUUUGGACAAUGGGCGCAACCCUGAUCCAGCCAUGCCGCGUGCGGGAAGAAGGCCUUCGGGUUGUAAACCGCUUUUGUUCGGGAAGAAAUCCUCUGGGCUAAUACCCCGGGGGGAUGACGGUACCGGAAGAAUAAGCACCGGCUAACUACGUG
Molecule: ribosomal RNA, 484 nt
Filed under: uncultured bacterium
Lineage: Bacteria
Description: partial 16S ribosomal RNA
Rfam family: Bacterial small subunit ribosomal RNA
Source: RNAcentral